UACCACAAGAUCUACACCUUCAUCACCAUAAUGCCAAGGAGAAUCAGCCUUAAUAACAACAAAAGAAACAUGAACAGUGUCACCUUCAUACUUAACAUCAUGUGAGAAACAUUCAUCUCUAUCUAUCACAAAUCUUAUCCCUUCUGUUUCUUUCCAAUUCAACAACAUCCCAAUCAAAACAAUCACCAUGACACAACAACUAUGUCUCAUCAUCAUCUGCACCCAAGAUUAAAUAAAUAAUUAUUAAUAAACCCCAAAAUUAAAAUUAAAAAAUAAAUCAAGAAAAUAAAAAAGAUAGAACCAUUGUUUGUUUCUUGGAUUCACUUCUCUGAGAUUUUGGACAAGA
This 346-nucleotide long non-coding RNA is filed under the name Medicago truncatula (barrel medic). Its description in RNAcentral is "lncRNA gene33778". The record is from RNAcentral. Lineage: Eukaryota; Viridiplantae; Streptophyta; Magnoliopsida; Fabales; Fabaceae.